RNAcentral lists this ribosomal RNA (370 nucleotides) under uncultured eukaryote. Its description in RNAcentral is "partial 18S ribosomal RNA". It matches the Rfam family "Eukaryotic small subunit ribosomal RNA", at positions 592 to 976 of the family's 1831-position model. The record is from RNAcentral.
CAAUAGCGUAUAUUAAAGUUGUUGCAGUUAAAAAGCUCGUAGUUGGAUUUCUGGUCGGAAGCUCCUGUCCUCUGAUGAGCGUACAAGUGCGUCCUACCAUCCUUCUGUUAACCUUUAAGGCUUUCGCGGCUUUCUAGGGGCUCAGAUAUUUUACCUUGAGAAAAUUAGAGUGUUUCAGGCAGGCUAGCGCCGGAAUACAUUAGCAUGGAAUAAUGGAAUAGGACUUUUGCCUCUUCUGUUGGUCAUGAGGCUCGAGUAAUGAUUAAUAGGGAUAGUUGGGGGCAUUAGUACUUAACUGUCAGGGGUGAAAUUCUCGGAUUUGUUAAAGACUAACUUAUGCGAAAGCAUUUGCCAAGGAUGUUUNCAUUAA